GACGAAGGAUGCAAGCGUUAUCCGGAUUCAUUGGGUUUAAAGGGAGCGUAGGUGGCCUUGUAAGUCAGUGGUGAAAUCUCUCGGCUUAACUGAGAAAUUGCCAUUGAUACUGCAGGGCUUGAGUACAGAUGCCGUUGGCGGAAUAUGACAUGUAGUGGUGAAAUACAUAGAGAUGUCAUAGAACACCGAUUGCGAAGGCAGCUGACGAAACUGUAACUGACACUGAGGCUCGAAAGUGUGGGGAUCAAACAGG
Molecule: ribosomal RNA, 253 nt
Filed under: uncultured bacterium
Lineage: Bacteria
Also listed under: 1 other name
Description: partial 16S ribosomal RNA
Rfam family: Bacterial small subunit ribosomal RNA
Source: RNAcentral